GCCGGGAUAGUUUAGUGGUAAAACGGCUCCUUGGUAAGGAGUUGAGCGCCGGUCCGAUUCCGGCUCCCGGCU
This 72-nucleotide transfer RNA is filed under the name Candidatus Gottesmanbacteria bacterium. RNAcentral describes it as "tRNA-Thr". It matches the Rfam family "tRNA". From Rfam's summary of the family: Transfer RNA (tRNA) molecules are approximately 80 nucleotides in length. Their secondary structure includes four short double-helical elements and three loops (D, anti-codon, and T loops). Further hydrogen bonds mediate the characteristic L-shaped molecular structure. tRNAs have two regions of fundamental functional importance: the anti-codon, which is responsible for specific mRNA codon recognition, and the 3' end, to which the tRNAs corresponding amino acid is attached (by aminoacyl-tRNA synthetases). tRNAs cope with the degeneracy of the genetic code in two manners: having more than one tRNA (with a specific anti-codon) for a particular amino acid; and 'wobble' base-pairing, i.e. permitting non-standard base-pairing at the 3rd anti-codon position. Lineage: Bacteria; Candidatus Gottesmaniibacteriota. The record is from RNAcentral.